GAUGAACGCUAGCUACAGGCUUAACACAUGCAAGUCGAGGGGCAGCGGUAUCGAAAGCUUGCUUUCGGUAGCCGGCGACCGGCGCACGGGUGAGUAACGCGUAUCGAACCUGCCUCAUACUCGGGAAUAGCCUUGCGAAAGUAAGAUUAAUGCCCGGUGUUUUCAGAGUCCCGCAUGAGGCUUUGAACAAAGAUUUAUCGGUAUGAGAUGGCGAUGCGUCCCAUUAGCUUGUUGGCGGGGUAACGGCCCACCAAGGCAUCGAUGGGUAGGGGUUCUGAGAGGAAGGUCCCCCACAUUGGAACUGAGACACGGUCCAAACUCCUACGGGAGGCAGCAGUGAGGAAUAUUGGUCAAUGGGCGGAAGCCUGAACCAGCCAAGUAGCGUGCAGGAAGACGGCCCUCCGGGUUGUAAACUGCUUUUAGUUGUGAAUAAAACGGGGCUCGUGAGCCCCCUUGCAUGUACCAUCAGAAAAAGGACCGGCUAAUUCCGUG
This 492-nucleotide ribosomal RNA is filed under the name uncultured bacterium. RNAcentral's name for it is "partial 16S ribosomal RNA". It matches the Rfam family "Bacterial small subunit ribosomal RNA", at positions 28 to 507 of the family's 1533-position model. The record is from RNAcentral.